UUCCGGUUGAUCCUGCCAGAGGUCACUGCUAUCGGGGUUCGAUUAAGCCAUGCGAGUCGAGAGGGUUCGGCCCUCGGCGUACUACUCAGUAACACGUGGAUAACCUGCCCUAAGGAAGGGGAUAACCUCGGGAAACUGAGGAUAAUACCCUAUAGGUUACAGAUGCUGGAAUGCCCUGUAACCAAAAGCUCCGGCGCCCUAGGAUGGAUCUGCGGCCGAUUAGGUUGUUGUUGGGGUAACGGCCCAACAAGCCCGUAAUCGGUACGGGUUGUGGGAGCAAGAGCCCGGAGUUGGAUUCUGAGACACGAAUCCAGGCCCUACGGGGCGCAGCAGGCGCGAAACCUUUACAAUGCGGGCAACCGUGAUAAGGGAACCUCGAGUGCCUGUAAACGCAGGCUGUUCAGGUGUUUAAAACGCACCUGGAGAAAGGGCCGGGCAAGACCGGUGCCAGCCGCCGCGGUAAUACCGGCGGCUCGAGUGGUGGCCGCUUUUAUUGGGCUUAAAGCGUUCGUAGCUGGGUUGUUAAGUCUCUUGGGAAAUCUGGCGGCUUAACCGUCAGGCGUCUAAAGGGAUACUGGCAAUCUUGGAACCGGGAGAGGUGAGGGGUACUUCGGGGGUAGGGUGAAAUCCUGUAAUCCUCGAGGGACACCUGUGGNGAANCGCCUCACCAGAACGGCUUCGACAGUGAGGGACGAAAGCUGGGGGAGCAACCGGAUUA
This 718-nucleotide ribosomal RNA is filed under the name uncultured archaeon. Its description in RNAcentral is "bacterial SSU rRNA". It matches the Rfam family "Archaeal small subunit ribosomal RNA", at positions 1 to 731 of the family's 1478-position model. The record is from RNAcentral.